GCUGGGUGUGGUGGCGCAUGCCUGUAAUCCCAGCUACUCGGGAGGCUGAGACAGGAGAAUCGCUUGAACCCAGGAGGCAGAGGUUGCAGUGAGCUGAGAUCGCGCCACUGCAUUCCAGCCUGGGUGACAGAGUGAGACUCCAUCUCAA
This 148-nucleotide small RNA is filed under the name Pongo abelii (Sumatran orangutan). RNAcentral's name for it is "Metazoan signal recognition particle RNA (ENSPPYG00000031167.1)". Lineage: Eukaryota; Metazoa; Chordata; Mammalia; Primates; Hominidae. The record is from Rfam by way of RNAcentral.